This 21-nucleotide small nuclear RNA is filed under the name Arabidopsis thaliana (thale cress). Its description in RNAcentral is "snRNA_16060". Lineage: Eukaryota; Viridiplantae; Streptophyta; Magnoliopsida; Brassicales; Brassicaceae. The record is from RNAcentral.
UAAUGACAUUUUUUGUAAUUC